RNAcentral lists this ribosomal RNA (254 nucleotides) under uncultured bacterium. Its description in RNAcentral is "partial 16S ribosomal RNA". It matches the Rfam family "Bacterial small subunit ribosomal RNA", at positions 524 to 777 of the family's 1533-position model. The record is from RNAcentral.
UACGUAGGGGGCUAGCGUUGUCCGGAAUCAUUGGGCGUAAAGCGCGCGUAGGCGGCCCUGUUAGUCCGCUGUAAAAGUCAAAGGCUCAACCUUUGAAAGCCGGUGGAUACUGUGAGGCUAGAGUACGGAAGAGGCGAGUGGAAUUCCUGGUGUAGCGGUGGAAUGCGCAGAUAUCAGGAGGAACACCAAUAGCGAAGGCAGCUCGCUGGGACGUUACUGACACUGAGGCGCGAAAGCGUGGGGAGCGAACAGGA